GAUGAAGAACGCAGCGAAAUGCGAUAAGUAAUGCGAAUUGCAGAAUCCGUGAGUCAUCGAAUCUUUGAACGCACAUUGCGCCCUCUGGUAUUCCGGAGGGCAUGCCUGUUCGAGCGUCAUUGCUGCCCUCAAGCACGGCUUGUGUGUUGGGCCUCCGUCCUCCUCCCGGGGGACGGGCCCGAAAGGCAGCGGCGGCACCGCGUCCGGUCCUCGAGCGUAUGGGGCUUCGUCACCCGCUCUUGUAGGCCCGGCCGGCGCUUGCCGACACAUCAAUCUUUUUUCCAGGUUGACCUCGGAUCAGGUAGGGAUACCCGCUGAACUUAAGCAUAUCAAUAAGCGGAGGA
Molecule: unclassified non-coding RNA, 344 nt
Filed under: soil metagenome
Description: partial contains 5.8S ribosomal RNA, internal transcribed spacer 2, and large subunit ribosomal RNA
Rfam family: 5.8S ribosomal RNA (bases 1-119)
Source: RNAcentral